RNAcentral lists this unclassified non-coding RNA (304 nucleotides) under plant metagenome. RNAcentral describes it as "partial contains 5.8S ribosomal RNA, internal transcribed spacer 2, and large subunit ribosomal RNA". The stretch from base 1 to 104 matches the Rfam family "5.8S ribosomal RNA", at positions 50 to 154 of the family's 154-position model. The record is from RNAcentral.
GAAAUGCGAUAAGUAGUGUGAAUUGCAGAAUUCAGUGAAUCAUCGAAUCUUUGAACGCACAUUGCGCCCUUGGUAUUCCUUAGGGCAUGCCUGUUCGAGCGUCAUCUAAACCUUCAAGCCCUGCUUGGUGUUGGGUGCCUGUCCCGCCUCCGCGCGCGGACUCACCUCAAAUCCAUUGGCGGCCCCCGCGUCGGCCACGAGCGCAGCAGAAACGCGAACUCGUGAGCCCGUCCGGGCGGCUCCCAGAAGCUACACCCACCCAGUUUGACCUCGGAUCAGGUAGGGAUACCCGCUGAACUUAAGC